UUUCUUGCAGUCCUGAUGCAUGGAGAAAUGCUCAACUCCUGAUGCAUGGUGAAAAGGCCUUCACAAGCCUCUGCUAAUGUGUACAUAGUUUAUACUAAGUGACCCAUAGGUUGAGGAGGCGGUAACCGUGCUCCCCAACGAAAAGGCAACAACGCAUUCGUAUGUCAAUCCAUAUCAACUUUCGAUGCCAUUGACUGCGCCUACCAUGGUGACCACGGGUAACGGGGAAUCCGGGUUUGAUUCCGAUCAGGGACCCUGACAAACGGCUACCUCAUGCAAGGAAGGCAGAAUGACCCACUCCCGACGCGGGAAGGUAGUGACGACAAAUUACAAUACAGGACUCUUUAGAGGCCCUGUAAUUGUAAUGAGUCCACUUAAAAUCCUUUAACUCUGAUUAAUUGGAGGGAAGUCUGGUGCAGAGCCACUGACCCGUGCGUGCUGCAGCUGAAACUCCACU
This is a non-coding RNA of Pelobates cultripes (western spadefoot toad), 457 nucleotides long. The record is from the annotation of a GenBank genome assembly. Lineage: Eukaryota; Metazoa; Chordata; Amphibia; Anura; Pelobatidae.